RNAcentral lists this ribosomal RNA (1461 nucleotides) under human gut metagenome. RNAcentral's name for it is "bacterial LSU rRNA". It matches the Rfam family "Bacterial large subunit ribosomal RNA", at positions 499 to 1983 of the family's 2925-position model. The record is from RNAcentral.
UACUGUGAAGGAAAGGUGAAAAGGACCCCGGGAGGGGAGUGAAAGAGAACCUGAAACCCUGUGUUUACAAGCUGUGGGACAUCUUUACAUGAUGAACCGCGUACUUUUUGUAGAACGGUCCGGCGAGUUGCGGAUGCCGGCAAGGUUAAGCACUUAAGGUGUGGAGCCGAAGGGAAACCAAGUCUGAAGAGGGCGCAUAUAGUCAGUAUCCGCAGACCCGAAACCGGGUGAUCUACCCAUGUCCAGGUUGAAGUUGCCGUAAAAGGCAAUGGAGGACCGAACGCACAUCCGUUGAAAAGGGUGGCGAUGAGGUGUGGGUAGGGGAGAAAUUCCAAUCGAACCCGGAGAUAGCUGGUUCUCCUCGAAAUAGCUUUAGGGCUAGCCUCGAUGGAGUCUUACGGAGGUAGAGCACUGAAUUUCUAAGGGGGCGUCAAAGCUUACCAAGGGAUAUCAAACUCCGAAUGCCGUAAAGAUGCUCAUCGGGAGUCAGACUGCACGAGAUAAGUUGGGCAGUCAAAAGGGAAAGAGCCCAGACCUGCUGCUAAGGUCCCAAAGUACGUGUUAAGUGGAAAAGGAUGUGGGAUUUCGAAGACAACUAGGAUGUUGGCUCAGAAGCAGCCACACAUUCAAAGAGUGCGUAAUAGCUCACUAGUCGAGAGGUCCUGCGCCGAAAAUGUCCGGGGCUGAAACACAACACCGAAGCUCAGGAAUGUAUUUAUACAUUGGUAGAGGAGCAUUCUUAAAGGGGCGAAGCAGUACCGAUAAGGAGCUGUGGACUUUUAAGAAGAGAGAAUGCCGGAAUGAGUAGCGAGAUGGAGGUGGGAAUCCUCCAGGCCGAAUAUCCAAGGUUUCCAGAGUAAAGCUGAUCUGCUCUGGGUAAGUCGGGGCCUAAGGUAAGGCUGAGAAGCGUAGCCGAUGGACAACAGGUUGAGAUUCCUGUACCGCGUAUCAUCAGAACUGUGGGGACACAGAAGGACAGCACAUCCCGGGAAUGGAAAGACCGGGGCAAGCAGGGUAGGAGUUAAGCUGGCAAAUCCGCUUAACAAUCCGAAGCUGUGAUGCGGAGCGAAUUUAAGUAGCGAAGUGUGCGAUUCCGGCUGUCAAGAAAAGCCGCUAUUGUGUGAUACGUGCCCGUACCGUAAACCGACACAGGUAGAUGAGGAGAGAAUCCUAAGGCCGGCGGGAGAAGCAUUGUUAAGGAACUCGGCAAAAUGACCCUGUAACUUCGGGAGAAAGGGUGCCUGGGAAACCAGGCCGCAGAGAAUAGGCUCAAGCAACUGUUUAGCAAAAACACAGGUCUAUGCAAAACCGUAAGGUGAGGUAUAUGGGCUGACGCCUGCCCGGUGCUGGAAGGUUAAGAGGAGGGGUUAGCGCAAGCGAAGCAUUGAAUUGAAGCCCCAGUAAACGGCGGCCGUAACUAUAACGGUCCUAAGGUAGCGAAAUUCCUUGUCGGGUAAGUUC